UACAGAGGUCUCAAGCGUUGUUCGGAUUCAUUGGGCGUAAAGGGUGUGUAGGUGGCGCCGUUAGUCGGGUGUGAAAUUUCGGAGCUUAACUCCGAAACUGCAUUCGAUACUGCGGUGCUUGAGGACUGGAGAGGAGACUGGAAUUCAUGGUGUAGCAGUGAAAUGCGUAGAGAUCAUGAGGAAGACCAGUGGCGAAGGCGGGUCUCUGGACAGUUCCUGACACUGAGACACGAAGGCCAGGGGAGUAAACGGG
Molecule: ribosomal RNA, 253 nt
Filed under: uncultured bacterium
Lineage: Bacteria
Description: partial 16S ribosomal RNA
Rfam family: Bacterial small subunit ribosomal RNA
Source: RNAcentral